CAGUUCGGAUUGUAGGCUGCAACUCGCCUACAUGAAGUCGGAGUUGCUAGUAAUCGCGGAUCAGAAUGCCGCGGUGAAUGCGUUCCCGGGUCUUGUACACACCGCCCGUCACACCAUGGAAGUUGGGGGCGCCCGAAGUUGCCUAAGAAAUAAGGUACCUAAGGCGAAACCAAUGACUGGGGUGAAGUCGUAACAAGGUAUC
RNAcentral lists this ribosomal RNA (202 nucleotides) under uncultured bacterium. Its description in RNAcentral is "partial 16S ribosomal RNA". It matches the Rfam family "Bacterial small subunit ribosomal RNA", at positions 1289 to 1500 of the family's 1533-position model. The record is from RNAcentral.